This 253-nucleotide ribosomal RNA is filed under the name uncultured bacterium. Its description in RNAcentral is "partial 16S ribosomal RNA". It matches the Rfam family "Bacterial small subunit ribosomal RNA", at positions 524 to 776 of the family's 1533-position model. The record is from RNAcentral.
UACGGAGGGGACUAGCGUUGUUCGGAAUUAUUGGGCGUAAAGCGCGUGUAGGCGGCUUAGCAAGUCGGGCGUGAAAGCCCUCGGCUCAACCGAGGAAGUGCACCCGAAACUGCUGAGCUUGAGUGCCGGAGAGGAUGGCGGAAUUCCCCAAGUAGAGGUGAAAUUCGUAGAUAUGGGAAGGAACACCGGUGGCGAAGGCGGCCAUCUGGACGGUAACUGACGCUGAGACGCGAAAGCGUGGGGAGCAAACAGG